Molecule: long non-coding RNA, 1050 nt
Filed under: Homo sapiens (human)
Lineage: Eukaryota; Metazoa; Chordata; Mammalia; Primates; Hominidae
Description: long intergenic non-protein coding RNA 1198
Source: RNAcentral
GAGCUUUCUUCUUGGACACCUAAUACCCACAGUCCUCCAAGUGGCGUCGGACCCCUGUCAGAGAGUAAAUCUCAAGUAAGGUACCUGCCAUCGGCAGAUUUGAGCUUUCUUCUUGGACACCUAAUACCCACAGUCCUCCAGGCUCCGGUAGACUGCAAAUGACCUGCUUUCUUUCUGUUCCCGGGCUGCGUUUGGACCCCUGUCGGAUAGUAAAUCCCAAGUAAGGCUCCGGUAGACUGCAAAUGACCUGCUUUCUUUCUGUUCCCGGGCUGCGUUUGGACCCCUGUCGGACAGUAAAUCCCAAGUAAGGUACCUGCCCUCGGCAGAUUUGAGCUUUCUUCUUGGACACCUAAUACCCACAGUCCUCCAGGAAUGGAACAGAUAAGAAGAUACUGAAAUUGGACGGUGCUGCCGUGCGGCUGCCGCAGGACACCUUUAAUAUCCCUGUUUCUCAGGCUGUAGAUGAAGGGGUUCAGCAUGGAGGUGAUCACCGUGUACAUCACUGAGGCCACUGCAGCCUUUCUCGGGGAAGAUGACACAUCUGAACUGAGGUACCCUCCAAAGCCUGUUCCGUAAAAUCAGCAAACAACUGACAGGAUAACUUCAGGAAGUGGGUAUUAAUUCUCACGGUAUAAGUGAAGACAUUAAGCACCAGAGUUUAAGUAGCUUGAUCCACUGAAAGAGAUUCAACUGUGUGGAACCUAUGCCGUGGAGAAUUGCUUUCUGCCAUUGUUAUCGUCCAGCAGUUGCCGAAUAGCUCUGACCUGAGCAAAGCAGUGAAACGCGGUGCUGUUGAGUGGGUUGCCACUGCACCUUUUUCAACUACUCUAGUCUUGUGGAGAAAAUACCCCUUCUAAAUUUUUUCUUCAUUGAAUACUCUCCCUCAGCUCCAGAGUACCAUAUAGAGUUUUCUUGUAUUUUAGAGUUACUGUUUUAUCAAAGUUUACCAGUCUUUUGUAUUACAUUUCUCCUGUCUAAAUCGACUGUGUGGUUUCUACUCAUUAUGGAUAUAGAUUGAUACAAACUCAAUAAAUAUUUUUGAAUGAAUAA